This 449-nucleotide ribosomal RNA is filed under the name uncultured bacterium. Its description in RNAcentral is "bacterial SSU rRNA". It matches the Rfam family "Bacterial small subunit ribosomal RNA", at positions 354 to 796 of the family's 1533-position model. The record is from RNAcentral.
GUCGAGAAUCUUUAGCAAUGGACGAAAGUCUGACUAUGCGACGCCGCGUGAGGGAUGAAGAUCUUCGGGUUGUAAACCUCUUUCGACAGGGAAGAAACCUCCGACGUGAAUAUCGUCGGAGCUGACGGUACCUGUAGAAGAAGCCACGGCCAACUCCGUGCCAGCAGCCGCGGUAAUACGGAGGUGGCGAGCGUUACUCGGAUUCAUUGGGUGUAAAGGGCAGGUAGGCGGUUUCGUAAGUUGAAUGUGAAAUCUUCCCGCUUAACGGGAAAACUGCAUUCAAAACUACGAGGCUUGAGGCUGGAAGAGGAGAAUGGAAUUCCCGGUGUAAGGGUGAAAUCUGUAGAUAUCGGGAGGAACACCAGUAGCGAAAGCGAUUCUCUAGUCCAGUUCUGACGCUGAGCUGCGAAAGCUAGGGGAGCAAACAGGAUUAGAAACCCCGGUAGUCC